RNAcentral lists this ribosomal RNA (403 nucleotides) under uncultured bacterium. RNAcentral's name for it is "bacterial SSU rRNA". It matches the Rfam family "Bacterial small subunit ribosomal RNA", at positions 34 to 422 of the family's 1533-position model. The record is from RNAcentral.
GGCCGCGGGAAUUCGAUUCAGGCCUAACACAUGCAAGUCGAGCGGCAGCGGGAAAGUAGCUUGCUACUUUUGCCGGCGAGCGGCGGACGGGUGAGUAAUGCCUGGGGAUCUGCCCAGUCGAGGGGGAUAACUACUGGAAACGGUAGCUAAUACCGCAUGCGCCCUACGGGGGAAAGCAGGGGACCUUCGGGCCUUGCGCGAUUGGAUGAACCCAGGUGGGAUUAGCUAGUUGGUGAGGUAACGGCUCACCAAGGCGACGAUCCCUAGCUGGUCUGAGAGGAUGAUCAGCCACACUGGAACUGAGACACGGUCCAGACUCCUACGGGAGGCAGCAGUGGGGAAUAUUGCACAAUGGGGGAAACCCUGAUGCAUAAAGGCCGCGUGUGUGAAGAAGGCCUUCGGG